RNAcentral lists this ribosomal RNA (253 nucleotides) under uncultured bacterium. Its description in RNAcentral is "partial 16S ribosomal RNA". It matches the Rfam family "Bacterial small subunit ribosomal RNA", at positions 524 to 776 of the family's 1533-position model. The record is from RNAcentral.
UACGGAGGGGGCUAGCGUUGUUCGGAAUUACUGGGCGUAAAGCGCACGUAGGCGGACUGUUAAGUUGGGGGUGAAAUCCUGGGGCUCAACCUCAGAAUUGCCUCCGAUACUGGCAGUCUCGAGUGCGGGAGAGGUGAGUGGAAUUCCCAGUGUAGAGGUGAAAUUCGUAGAUAUUGGGAAGAACACCAGUGGCGAAGGCGGCUCACUGGCCCGUAACUGACGCUGAGGUGCGAAAGCGUGGGGAGCAAACAGG